AAAUAACCUAGCAAGAGGCCUGCUGGAGGGCAGCAGGGGAAAAUGGAAGACCCGAAUCUUUAGACGAGUCUAUUUUCAGACUCGCUCCUUUCUCUACCAAACCUGGGCUGCUUCCGAUUCCCCUUCUCUCUUCCCCAAACUGGGCUCUAACCCCCGUCCUCUGAAUCCAUGCCCGGGUAAGGUGACUAGGGGCACUGGCCCUGUCCGGGGCUGCCUACUCACCCGCCGCGGGAGGGGCCGGGUGGCUUUUUUGGGGACUGAGCCUCACUCUGGCGCCCAGGCUACAUUGCAGUGGCGCGGUCUUGGCUCAGUGAAGCCUCGACCUGCCGGACUAAAGCAGUUCUCCCGCCUCAGCCUCCCCAAGUAGCUGGGACUACAGGUGCACGCCACCACACCCGGCUAAUUAUUAUACUUUUUAAAUUAAAAAAAAAUUUUUUUUAGACGGAGUCUCGUUUUAUCCCCCAGGCUGGAGUGCAUUGGCGCAGUCUCAGCUGCAACCUCCGCCUCCUGGGUUCAAACGAGUCUCCUGCCUCAGCCUCCUGAGUAGAUGGGAUUACGGGCGCCCGCCACCACGCCCGGCUAAUUUUUGUGUUUUUAGUAGAGAC
This 605-nucleotide small RNA is filed under the name Pongo abelii (Sumatran orangutan). Its description in RNAcentral is "sense overlapping". Lineage: Eukaryota; Metazoa; Chordata; Mammalia; Primates; Hominidae. The record is from RNAcentral.